Long non-coding RNA from Harpia harpyja (harpy eagle), 7053 nucleotides. RefSeq lists it as uncharacterized. The transcript has 4 exons. The record is from RefSeq and is a predicted model, not a curated record. NCBI's taxonomy places the organism in Eukaryota, Metazoa, Chordata, Aves, Accipitriformes, Accipitridae.
UGAGGACUUCUUACGCAGUCGGGCAUGCAAACUAUGCAUACUCAGGAAGAGAUCAGCCAGAGGCCUUUAAUGCCUAUGAGACCUUGACUACAUGAGCACUGAGGAGAAAUUGCCAGGCAGGUUUUGGAAGCAGAACUAUAACCCGUAAUUUGAUGAGUCUAGAAAAUCCUGAACAUUGGCUCCAACUCAGUUCUUCCCAGCCUUCCAUAAGCUGGAUUAAAGGCUAGUAUGAUUGAUACAUGCAAAAGGUUGAAUUCAUCAAGCACCAGAUUGGGGUCAGAAGGAAUUUCCAUUAAAAGCAAACUGGAACUAACCUGAGGAAGCCUGGAGGAGGAGCUGAGGGGGAAGGAAGAGGGGGGCUGAACAAUGAAACAUUUCUCCAGAGCAUUUGGAAUGGAUCACUCUCAUAUUCAAACUAUAAGCAAAUCACUCUGACAUUGCAAUUUGGACGACUUUAUUCCAAUACAGUUUCUGAGUCCUGAAGAACUAUACCAAUUUUCCCUUCUAUGUUUUCAUCAAUGUGGAAAAGACUCUUUUCCUCUGUGUGGAGUCCAAACCCAGAAUACUUGUGAAAAACUCAAAGAAGUACAAAAAGGAGAGAUUUUGAAAGUGAAGAAAGCACUUGAGUCACUACCAAGAAGAAAAAAAAGAAAAACCAACCCAAGAGGAAAAGACCACCUACAACUGAUGAGGGGCCAGACACCUGCCUUUAAUUGAGUGCCUAAAGAAAACAGUAUAUGGCCACCCUUUAAUUUGUAAUAAGUUCUGACUUGACACAAGCUAUGUGAACUGCCAUGUGUGCUGUUAGUUGAUGGUAAGAAGGAAAUUCUUAUGCUGGAGCAUGUUGUGUAUCUGUGCAGACCUGAAGCUUGGUCCAAAAUGUGAAAAUGAGAAAAUCCUGCCUGGCUGAACACAAAAUGUGAAAAUGUGCAGUACAGGAUACACUGGACAGGUAUACUAAUCCUAUUGAUUGAAGGAUAACAGCAUAAGUGCCUUUGUCACAAAACUGUUAAUUCUGUCUUUGUCCUCCUUCCUGAAGCUAAUGAAGGAGAAGAUAGUGAUUUUAUGAUCUAAUACGGAAAACUAAAUUACAUGCUUACCUGCUUGGAAUUGAAGCAAACACAGAUGCAAGAAUAGACAAGGUCAACCUUAGCCCUGAUUUUUAUUUUUUUUUAACUCAGGCUGUCUCCCUUCAUCGUUUCCUACGUCAUUGUAUUUCUGACAUUUUCUCCUGAAGAGUUUAUUCUAAAUAUAUCGUGGCCAAGAUCCUAGCCCACUUUGCAUUCCUACCUUUCUAUCACUGCUAGAAAUAUUACUUCCUUUCUAUCUUACUGAGUUAGAAAAAAGCUAUCAUCUGUGACUGCUUUCUCCAUCACCCCACACAUCCAGCUCUGCUCUGCUCUCCUCUCAUAUUUCCAAGAUCUUGUUCCACUGCCCAAACAGCUUUUCUCGCUUCCCUCAUUUCUCCCCAUCACAGCCUUGUCUCUUCUUCUUGCAUGCACGAGUGCAUACACAGUUUCUGCCAAAAUCAUCUUCAUAGCUGCUCAUUCUGCCUGUCAAACCUGCCUCCUCAGGCCCUUCUUUGCCUUCCCCUUCACUACCUAAUCUGCUCAAGCUCUUACUGAAAGCCAGGAAGUCCUCUCAGCUCUGCCUUCCUGCCCUGCUCCCACAGAUUCUCCCCGCACCAGCCAUGUGAACUGCCCUUUUAGCUACUUCUCACACCGGCUCGCCUGUUGCCAUUAAUGCUGUACUCCUACACAAGGAAUAACUUUUUUAUACUACUGUACAAAAGCCAUGUUCUUGUCCUUCAUCUAAAGGGACUAAAUAGUAGCUUGACGAAUGCUGCCAAUAUCUGGUCUAUUAAUUAAAUAAUUUGCUAUGGUAUGAAAAGUACAUUACUUUUUAAGCCAGUGCCAUCACAUAACUCAGACAGUCAGCCUACUAAUUCACAUUAACACCAUUACUUCACUCAUGGGCCUUUUCCAGUCCUCCUUUCUGCUGUUACUACACAUUUGGCAUCAUGAUCUUGAAAAUCUUUUUGUGUUAUUUUAUUGUUGCAGUUAUUGUUCUGCAGUAUCUGCUCCUGGUAGCUUGAGAUAAAGACGAGAUGCAAUUCCUGAGAGAGAAAACCACAACUCUAGAGUGAGCAUAGGUUGGUGAGGAAACUUACCAUCAGUUAAUUGACUUGAGGCCAGAUAUGCAUUUAUUUCCUUUGCAGUUUAUUUUGUAAACCCAAAAUCCCUGAAAGACUACUAGCUUUGAUUUGAUACAAGGGUUUUUAAAUCCAGACGAUGAUGUUACUUUGUCAUAAUUUGUGCUUACAGUCUUGUGUUAAAUUGCUUUGGACUUACUUCAGAGAACAAAUAAUGUCAGCUGUUCAUUGUACAUCUUGCUUUAUAUAAGAUGGGUCUUGGCUAAAUGCCAUCACGACAUUUCUCGUCUAAAACUGCUCUUCCUUUAAAUCAGAAUCCAUCAGAUCAUAGUAGUAUAGGAUCAGGAUGAGGAAAAAAAAUAGCCCUAGUUAUGCGUAAUUUUAGGUCUAUAACAGUCACCAGAUGACUCACUAGCAUGUUGACAUUUCUAAGUUAAUAAAUAAAGCCCUCAGCCUUUCAAUUACAUCUGUUUGGGAAGAUCCCUAGGAUUGUACAAAGUUGCACUGGAGCUGGAGAAAUUAUUCUUGUAUAUAUUUAGGUGUAAAUUAAAGUGUAGUUCAUUUAAGGCUAAGGUUUGUGUGUAUUUUUAUACCAAGCGAGAAAUACAAGCUUAGGUUUUUAGAGUGCUUUGUAUUUGCAAGCUGUUUUCAUAAAGGUAAUUAGUUUGCAAGAGAUCUCCAGUGUGCUUGAUAUGAGAGACACAAACAGGUCUUUCAUCAUGCUUAUUAUACAAGAGUAAUCUUUAUAUCAAGUACCCACUGAUAAUGUUAAUAGCUAUGAUAAAACACAGUAUAAUGACAAGUGCCUUCCAACAACCUAAAGUAAAUCAUGCAAAGCAAUUGACUUAAAAGGGCUAUUCCAAAUCCUUUCAUUAUACUUUUACAAAGCAACAUCAUUGCAAGCUGGAUUUUGUAGUAAGUGUGCAGUGCAGGAGGCCUUGAGAAGGAGGAAAAUUGGGCUUUGCAUUCUGCUAGAUGAAGACUGCUUAAUCUUUCAGAACUUCCCAGCCAUGGGCAGAGAUAUCAUGUUACACCAACUAUUGUAUGAGAACAAAUGCAAGGGCUUUUAGAUAGACCUCUGUGUAGCAGUGAUGCCAGACACUAUUUUCUUCUCAUCUUACAGCAUUAAAAGAUGAUGUAAAACAGGAUGUAAAUGAUCUUGAAUCUUCUGAACAUACUAGAAGGUAAUUUUAUUUAAAGAGAAAGCAUUAUUUUAAAAACAAAGGGUAGAUUCUUAAGAGUUACAUGCAAGAUUGGUCUAAUUGAAAGACAGGAAAAAUAUUUUUAGGUUAUCUUUAGUUUGAUUCUUUGUUUGACUCUUUUUUAAUAAAACAUCAGUUUCUUCUGCUGCUGCUUUAGCAUCUGGAGAACGGUCUCCAACCAUUUCUUCUAAGAGUAAAAUUGCAUAGGAAAGAGUUUGUAGGUUCCAGAAUAAGAGUAGAAUUAUAAAGGAGAGAGCUUGUAGGACAGAUCUACAAUUACAAAUUUUUCCCAUUUUUGUUUCCGUGAAAAAAAGAAAAAUACUUUAAAAAUGCAUUCCAUAAACUGAAAAAAUAGCAAAAGGGGUUUGGGGCAGAUGAGUUUCAAUGAUUCGAAGUCCAGUGAACUCAUCUGAGAGACUGCUGCUGACUCCAGCAGACUUAUUGCUAUCAUUUUAUUGGAUUAAUUUCACAUUUAAUUUUCUAAUUAUUUUGAUUUUUUAAUUAUAAAAGAUAUUUUAACUCAAAAUAAACACACUAAAUCCCAUAAAAUUGCUAUGCUUUUUUUUUUUUUAAUUGCCACUGUAGGCUUUGGGUAUAUGUCAUUGUCAAGAGAGGUUAUCAUUGUUUAUUCUGAAAGUUCUGAAAACAGAAGGGAUAGGUAAAAAGAAAAGGAAUGUACUUUUCUCCAGCUUCCAUACUGAUGAGUUUUAUUGUACCAGAUUCUUUUGUUAAUGUUAUUCCCCUUUGCGUUAUUUUCCACUCCCUGUGGCACAAAUGCUGUAUGGUCCAGAUUAUCUCCCAAAGAGAAGAACGCUUUCCCACCUUCCAACUAUGGAGAAAGAGGUAUCGAUACACAGAGGAGGGAUAUACAAUAAUGAAAGACUCUUAAACUGACACUUCUCAGCAGAAGUAUCAUAGGAAUAACUGAGACAACACGGAGUCCUGAGAUGAUACCCUCUUCCUCUGUCCCAGGUUUCUCCAGCAUAUGCAUUUCAGCUAUUGUAUGUCUGAUCACUCGAUUAGUUUCUUAGGAUACUCUGACCACAUAGAACUGUCUGGGCCCCGAGGGCACUGUUAGCGCUGCCUGUACCUGCCCAGUCCCCUGGGGCUCCCCCUGCCCUGCCCAUGGCCCAGGACCCCAUCUCAGCCCCCCGGGGCUGUCAGCCCCUGCCUCAGCAAUGCCACAGAAGGGCCAGUCUCCGGCUCCCCACAGCCCUGCCCUGCCCAGCCAUGGGCCAAGCUGAACCAGGCCUACGUCCCAGACCACCCCCAUCCCCAGGCCCCUGCCCAUCAGUCUCUGGACCUGAUCCUGGCCCUGACCUCUGGAUUGACUUCCCAGCUUGACCCCAGACCUGCCUCAUCACCAUUGCCUUAUGGUCUGGACCCCUGGUCUGAUCUGGCCACCACCUCCGGGUCCGUCCUGCUCCCUUGCUUAGGAGACACAGGCCCUGCUGGCCCUGGGGUCACUCCUGGCUUCCCUCCCUCAGGGAGCAGCCCUCUCUUACUCCUCCCUGGCAGUAAUUCCCUCUUCAUAAAGCACCUAAAUAUCCUCUUGCUGCGUGUUAAAUUUCCACCUUCCUGAGGUGAGGCACCUACACAGUGACCCACCAUCAGCACGGCAGGAGUGGCGGCACGGCAGGCAGCGCAGGGCUUUCAGCACAGCCCGGCAAGCAUGAGGCUGCGUGUACGCCCUUGUCAGUGCCGGCCAAAGAUCUUCAAUGCCCAUGCACAGUGGGGCAGGUUAAGAGACCCAUCCAAAUUAAAUCACAUAGACCUCAAGAGGCAGAACAAUAAAGUCCAGGCAAUCCUUCAAGGAAUGUGCUACUGGAAUGUUUUGUGAUGCUACAUCUGUUUCACAAAAUGUCCAGGGAGUCACUGUGAGAGGGAGGUAUGUGCUUUAAUGCCUAAUAACCUGUGUUUUCUUCAAAUGCACCUGCAAACUGCCAGAAAAUCACCAAAUAUAAAAAAUACAUAUAUUCUCAUGAAGAAGAGUAGUCAUUUGCUGUUGCUGGGGAAUGAAUUACCCUGUCCCACGGGAUUUUUUUCCUCAGAAGAUGACAGCACUGUUCCUGACCAAGAAGUUGAGUAUUGUCUCAAGAAAAGCUGUGAAGAAAAUGGGACCUUUCUCAGAAAACUCUGAUGCAGUUACCUUGCCGCUGGGACUUAGACUGUUCUUCUGCAGAGAAAGGAGGUAUGAUGGGGGACUAGAGCUGCCAAACUGGCUACCUCUGCACCGUGGGGUCUGUUGGACACCUUAACCUGAAUUUUUAAUGAAAGCAGUUGUAAAAAAUGAUACUUGCAGGGAAAAUAAGAAAAUUAAGACAACUAAAGCAUGCUUCUAGACAUUUCUAGCUUUCCAUGUAAAUCGAGCUGACUGCCUUACCAACUACCAUUCUCCCAGAUUUCUGCUUUGAGUAUGUGUCUUUGUCAAAGACUGUUAUUGUUAAUUACAUGUGGAAAGCCUAAAGCUUCAACUUUGAGAAACAGAUGAAGUUUGUACCUGACUGAAACAAAAUAUCUAUUCUAAGCAGAACUAAAUGAAAAUCAGAGAAAAGGCAUGCAUCAAUGAUGAAGCUACUCCUCCUCUAGCCAGCAGAACAUCACUGUUUUCACAAUUAUAUGGUACCAGAGUUAGGGUUGUCUGCUAUAGCCAAUUUGUACACAGCAAUAUUUUUCUUCUUACACGUGUGCUGCACCGUGUUACAUUAAGUGUAUGUAAAAUAACUCAGAGAUGCAAUAGCAAGGUGGCAUUAUACCCUGCAAAAAUUUGAGUAAUGGAGCUUUAAAACAACAUGCUAAGUAGGGUCUCCCCUACCUGUAACAAAUUUCUUAUAUGUUAGCUUUAGAGCCAUAUUCCUAAGCCUCUGUCUAUGCUGAAGGCAAGUGAACCAUGUGUGAAGAGUGAGUAAAAGACCAUGCAGAUAUGAUGAUUUAACUUUUUUAUAGUGGUCAGAAACGUGAUUCAGUGGUGGCAAGAGCAAUAACAAAGUAAUGUUACUAACUGUAUUGGCUUUGUGUGGCAAGGUUGGGGGGGGGGGGGGUUACAGGGGUGGCUUCUGUAAGAAGCUGCUGGAAGCUUCCCCUGUGUCCAACAGAGCCAAUACCAGCUGGCUCUGAGAUGGACCCGCCACCGGCCAAGGCCGAGUCCAUCAGCAAUGGUGGUAAUGCCUCUGGGAUAACAGAUUUAAGAAGGAAAAAAAAGUUGCUGGGACAGACAGAAAUGGCAGCCGGAGAGAGGAGUGAGAACAUGUAAGAGAAACAACCCUGCAGACACCAAGGUCAGUGUAGAAGGAGGGGGAGGAGAUGCUCCAGGCGCCGCAGCAGAGAUUCCGCUGCAGCCCGUGGGGAAGACCAUGGUGAGGCAGGUUGUCCCCCUGCAGCCCAUGGAGAUCCAUGGCGGAGCAGAUAUCCACCUGCAGCCCGUGGAGGACCCCACACCGGAGCAGGUGGGUGCCCGAAGGAGGCUGUGACCCCGUGGGAAGGACCUGAAGGAGUGCACUCUGUGGAAGGGACCCAUGCUGGAGCAGUUUGUGAAGAACUGCAGCCCGUGGGAACGACCCACGUUGGAGAAGUUCAUGGAGGACUGUCUCCCGUGGGAGGGACCCCACGCUGGAGCAGGGGAAGAGUGUGAUGAGUCCUGCCUCUGAGGAGGAUGAAGCGGCAGAAAUAACGUGUGAUGAACUGACUGUAAACCCCAUC